CUUCACUUCACGCUAUUAAGGUGCUACCCAGGACGAGUUGCGUUACAACACCCAAACCUUAGUGGUUUAUAACAACAAAGGUUUAUUUCUCACUCGAGCUCUGUGUCUAUCAUGAGCUAGCUGGAGCCACUGCUCCUUAUCUUCUCAUUCUAGAACCCAGGCUGGCAAAGCAAUUGUCAUCACAAACAUUGCCAGUCGCCAUGGCAAAGGGAAAGAGCUCUGGGAAGCGUCUUCCACUUGCAAUUAAAUGCUUCAGCCCAGGCGCAGUACUUCCACUCAGGACUCAAGAACAGGAACAAGUUACAUGGCCCCACUCAACCACAAGAGGGCCAAAAAUUACAAUUCUUCCAUGUCCCAGAAAGGCAGAGAGCUGGAAGUAUUUGGUGAAUAGUAGGUAACCAUCCUAAACUAGCAGAGUUCACUGGUAUUCAGACAACUGGCCACAAGCAAACCCAGCCAAUCAGCGCUUGGCACACAGCACUCCAUUGCCAUUGUGCUGCACAUCUGAGAAGUAGGCUACUAGCUGAGGCAACUUCUUGAUGUAGCAACUAACUAUGAAUAGAGACAAAUCAUAGUAUGGUUGUACUUAUCACAAAGGAAUGUCUCCAAGCCGGAGAGAACAUGACAAGAGUAAACUUUGUAUCAGGUUCUGCAAAAAGACAAAAGGAAGUGGUAGCCUGCCUCCUCCCUGGCUUCACCCUAAGACCUCUGGAGGAUACCACUAUCCCCGGAAUGUCCUAGGAGUGGGAACUCAGAAGAAAAACAUCACAUCUGUUCUGGGUGUGCCAAAUUUGAGGAAACAUCAGAAUGUCUAUAGAAAGCUGGAUCCAGCAGGCAGGUAGUGAUGUACCUCAAACCAGAAGUGGGGCUUAGAGACACACAUGGGAAAGUCGUUUGCAUCGAGGUGAGAGCCAAACCAGGAAAAAUGAGGAAAAGAUCAAGGACAAAACUUUACCAAUGCUGUUGGACGUUGACAAAAGACCAGAAUGUCUGAGGACCAGGAGGGCGACAGUCUUGAAAGCUGAGAGAGGAGACUGCCUCCAGGAGGAGGGUUUGGAGGGGAGGAGGUCAAAUGGAGUUGGGCCCAGGGGAUGAAGAGGGUAUAUGCAGGCAUAGGGAAUAUAUGAGCCAAUGCCAGUGAUUCUGCUUAGACAUCACAGCCCUAGAAAGUCUCCCCUGACUUCCCCAAACUGCAUCCGCAGUCCCCAGUGCAGCGUGUCCUUCUCUCCUCCCCAUCCCUCCCUUCUGACUGUGGGCUUCUUGGUUCCUGGGACAGUGUUUUGUUCACUGUGUCCUCCCCAGUGCCUCGUCCAGUGCCUGACACUUGGAAGGCACAUUAUAAAUGUCUGCUUAACAAAUUAAGAGACAAAUGAAUAGAAAGAGAGCAUAUAUCCAGAAAUUAGUGAAGACUGAAGCUAAGGGAUCAAAUAGGGAAAAAAUAGAAAAUAAAGAAGCAAAGAUAGAUGCGAUUAGGUUUAAUUCAACAAAUAAUGUACUCAACCAUUCUGAGAAGGGUAGAGGGUGGAUACAGGAUGUCAAAAGACAAAGGUCUUGUUUUCAAGGUGCACAUAGCCCAGUGCACAGGCCACAUAUAACUCUAAUAUCACAGAGUGAGGGAAGCUCUAGAAGACAUGCACAAAGUGCUAUGGAGAUUUAAAGUUGAGAGAAAUGGAAAAACAACCUGGAUGAGAAGGCAUUUGAGAUGGGCAGUUGAAAAUAGGAAUGGGCUUCCCAGGUAGAUGAAACAGGAUUACAAAGGGCACCAGGCUGGGAAACCACGGGCUUCCCACACAUAGGAUGUCAGCAUCUAGAGUUGGGAGAAGUGAGAAUCACUGGUGAGUCAACAAGAGGAGAGGAAGUUCUCUUCACAGGAAUUAUUCUGUGUGAAUAUAAAAAUGUGAGCACAUGGGCUUGACUCAGACUGAAGACAGGGUCUCUGUGUGGUCACUGAGCUGCUGUCACCGAGGAACAAAGAUGCUCAAAAGAACAAAUGCAAACAGAAGGUGUCAAGAGGCACCUUCCUUCCCCUUCACACCCACUUGAGAAGACCUACACAAGGGAAGCAGAAAACCACUCUAUCGUUGACUUCCCUGGAGCCCUAAAAGAAAAACUUCUGGCUAAUAUUCUGUCAGACAGUCUGGAUGGAAAUUUUAGAAUUUAUAUUUCAAAAUUAGUGACUGUGAUUUAUUUGCCACAGUCACUUGUCAGUUUGGGACAUUGGCAAAGUACCCAGCCACUCGGAUUGGCCAGAGGACCUGUCCCUCUCAGAAGGGCCCCUAAAGUUCUUCUAGCCAAAUUCUGCAGGAGGCGAGGACCAAAGAUGCUGACGCUGUGGCUGCUUCAUGCCAGAAUUGAACUGUGGUGACCACAGCCAGGGAAGAGGAGCAGAGCUGGGGGCAGGAGCUCUGGGAGCCUCACCUGGAGGUGGAGGACACACACGCAGGCAGGCUCCUAGAGGGGGACAGGGGAACAAGUCCCAGCUCCCUGUCUCCUGGUAGUUCUGCCCUUCAGCAUCCCAGAAGGAAAAGGGCCUUCCAGUUUUCAGCAGUGCUUAUUAAUGUGAACCAAGGUGAACUUCCCCAAAUUUUCCUUGUAAAAUAAUCUUCGAUAGCUGUGAGAAGUGGCAGGAUCAAAAAGCGUCUGUACUUUCUCCAAAAACAGAUCAAAAUCCCUCCUCGAUCUAAAUAAAGUGACUUAACAAGUUUUCACUUAAUUCAGAGAGAGGAUUUGCAUCCAGUUCAACAAUCUACUGGCCAAAAAGGUACUUUAUGGAAACUAAGCAAAGUUAGGAACCUCUGAGCAAACUUGUUUCUAAUGGAAAUUACAAAGCAGCAAUGAUAUAAUUAUGAAGGAGAUUUUAUAAGAAAAAAUUUCUCCUAGCAUGUUUAGAGACACUUUAUGUUCUAUAACAUAGAACACUAGUACUGGGCUGAUUGGAAACCAAUGACAUGGUAUAUAAUAAUAAUAUGUUUCUUUUUCCUUGUAAAUCUAAGUAUUCACCUGGGCCCUUAUCUUGAUCUUUCCGGUUAAUCUGAUUUACAAGUCAUAAAAAUCCAAUGCCUUGUGCUCAGAGGUAGGUCAUAGUGGCCUCACCCAGGGGUGAGCACCAAAGGGAUGCAAUGAAAUAAAAACAUCAAGGAUCAAGCCCUGAGAAUAGCAGAGUGCACACCUGGAAACCAAAGCCUGAUGCCUUCUGUUGUACCAUCUCGAGUUGACCCCAAGUAAGUUCAAACUAAGGGAAACCAAAGAAAUUUCAUUUUCCAUAGGACACAGCAUCUCAGCCUUGGGAAGGGAAAGGACAGAGAAAAAUCAGAAAUUCUGAAAUCCCAAGUAAAAUGGCCAGUGUAUUGGGUGGGAAAAGUGCUGAAUGAGAAGUAACAUUUCCCAAAGUAUGGUACCCAAGGUCACUUUAAGGAAUACGCAAUGGAAUUUUUUUUUAAUUUGGAACAUUAAUAUGGGUAUGCUAAUGAAUAAAGACAAGUAAUACUGGCUUUUCUACUUACGAUAUUGAUAUAAAAUUUCCCUUUUGACUAUGUUUCAGUAAAACAGCAAGUUCAUUUAUAUAAAACUUUUAAUAAAUAAUAGCAUGGUUGGCCUUCAGCUAAUGGUGAAAUGGUGAUACUGAUACUGCAUCGUGAAGUCUGGGAAACACUGAGCAGAGACAGGUGUCCUGGGCCUGCUGGGCACUUCUUUCUGUCCCAGAGUGGGAAAAGGCUCAUUCAUUCAUUCAUUCAUUCAUUCGACUUUUAGUAAAUGUUUUUUGGGUCCCUGUCAUGUUCCAGACACUGUCCAAGGGCCCGGCAUCUGAUGGUGAACAAGACUUGGUCCUUGCCCUUGAGGAUCUACACAUUAGCAGGGAUGCAGACAAUUAAAGAGACAGGGACCAUAUGCCAUGGUGAGCAAACAGAAGGUCAUUCCCAAAUGCACACAGCAGUGCUGGGAUUCAACUCAGAUCUUCCUGGUGCUAAAUCCUGAGCACAUUCACUAAGUCAUGUUGCCUCACUGGAGCAGAUGUUGGAAGAGCAAGGGAGAGAGAAGGGAAGUGGAAGGAAAGUGUAGAGCAAAGAAGGGAGAAGAGGCAACUAGGAUGAAGAAGUAAGGGGAUGGAUGACAAGAUAGAGAAACAAGUGAGGGAGGAG
Molecule: long non-coding RNA, 4139 nt
Organism: Equus caballus (horse)
Lineage: Eukaryota; Metazoa; Chordata; Mammalia; Perissodactyla; Equidae
Source: Ensembl